CUUCAAAAAAUUCUCUCCCCCCCCCCAAGUUCAUCCGGCUAGGGUCCGGUCAUCGGCCAUUCAUCGGCCACCACGCCGACCGUCGACCUCCGGCGACAGCACCACCGUCUGCAGUGGCCGGAAAAAGGAAAAAUUACCCUUUCGACUCUCUCGACCCUUCCAAGCCAAAAUCGGGAUUCAAAAUUUUCAAGAAACCACAAAAACACCCUCAAAAACCCUAGAAACCUUUCUGCUCCUAGCCGUCUGUCCUCGGAGAUGAACCUCGGCUGUUCCAACGGCGUUUCAGAGGUAAACCAAAUAUAUUAAGUGUCCUUUUAUAGCAAACAAUGAACAAAAGAAAAAGUGCAGGUGAACGGGAGAGGCGGCUGCGGCGCGAGGCUUACCCCAGAAACCCUAGGGUUUCUGAAACUGCUUUGGGCCUGGGAUUAAUUUUGGGCCUCUGUUUAUUUCAGUUUGGGCCCUUAUGGCCUGUUUGUAAUUGGACUCUAUAUUUAUUUUUAUUUGCUUGGUGCGGGCCGGGUAAAAACUAGGCAUUACAAGAUCGAUGAUUGAAGCGGUUAAGUCACCGGUUCAUCGGUCCAAAUAAAAAAUUAAAAAAUUCGGUUCCACUAAGUUUUUAACUGAUUUGUACCAAUUCUCAGUCUGAUUGGUUUAAAACCACUUUCCAAAAUAGUAUCCUAACCAAUCUAAU
Long non-coding RNA from Gossypium raimondii (Peruvian cotton), 691 nucleotides. RefSeq lists it as uncharacterized. The record is from RefSeq and is a predicted model, not a curated record. Lineage: Eukaryota; Viridiplantae; Streptophyta; Magnoliopsida; Malvales; Malvaceae. The transcript has 3 exons.